CAAUAAGCGGAGGAAAAGAAACUAACAAGGAUUCCCCUAGUAACUGCGAGUGAAGCGGGAAAAGCUCAAAUUUUAAAUCUGGCGGUCUCAUUGGCCGUCCGAGUUGUAAUCUAGAGAAGCGUCUUCCGCGCUGGCCCGUGUACAAGUCUCCUGGAAGGGAGCGUCAUAGAGGGUGAGAAUCCCGUCUUUGACAUGGACUACCAGUGCUAUGUGAUGCGCUCUCGACGAGUCGAGUUGUUUGGGAAUGCAGCUCAAAAUGGGUGGUAAAUUCCAUCUAAAGCUAAAUAUAGGCGAGAGACCGAUAGCGAACAAGUACCGUGAGGGAAAGAUGAAAAGAACUUUGGAAAGAGAGUUAAACAGUACGUGAAAUUGCUGAAAGGGAAACGCUUGAUGUCAGUCACGUUCGCCAGGGAUCAACCCCGCUUCAUCGCUGGGCGUAUUUCCUGGUCGGACGGGUCAGCAUCAGUUUCGAUCGGCAUAGAAGGGCGAAGGGAACGUGGCACUCUUCGGAGUGUGUUAUAGCCUUUCGUCGUAUGUGCCGGUGGGGACUGAGGAACUCGGCACCCUGUUCCAGGUGUUGCUUUAGGAUGCUGGCAUAAUGGCCUUAAGCGACCCGUCU
Molecule: ribosomal RNA, 619 nt
Filed under: Boletus auripes
Lineage: Eukaryota; Fungi; Basidiomycota; Agaricomycetes; Boletales; Boletaceae
Description: eukaryotic LSU rRNA
Rfam family: Eukaryotic large subunit ribosomal RNA
Source: RNAcentral